This 53-nucleotide non-coding RNA is filed under the name unclassified sequences. RNAcentral's name for it is "eL15-Euryarchaeota ribosomal protein leader". It matches the Rfam family "eL15-Euryarchaeota ribosomal protein leader". The record is from RNAcentral.
CGGGAUAAAAUCCCGUUGGAAUGUGAUCUUUAAAGAAAAGAUUGAACCAUGAA